UGCCAGUGAUGAUAAAUUAGGGUUUUGUUCUCACAAAAAUUCAUAGUUGUUGCCUAAGAUCUUUUGCCCUGCAAGGCUUGAGAGAUAAUGCUGUUAGAUUCUUCCUUGGAUGUCUGAGGCA
Molecule: small nucleolar RNA, 121 nt
Organism: Lolium rigidum
Lineage: Eukaryota; Viridiplantae; Streptophyta; Magnoliopsida; Poales; Poaceae
Product: small nucleolar RNA SNORD14
Exons: 1
Source: RefSeq, a predicted model, not a curated record